Molecule: ribosomal RNA, 460 nt
Filed under: uncultured bacterium
Lineage: Bacteria
Description: partial 16S ribosomal RNA
Rfam family: Bacterial small subunit ribosomal RNA
Source: RNAcentral
ACUACGGGUGGCUGCAGUGAGGAAUAUUGGUCAAUGGGCGGAAGCCUGAACCAGCCAAGUAGCGUGCAGGAUGACGGCCCUACGGGUUGUAAACUGCUUUUAUACGGGAAUAACGCGCCUUACGUGUAGGGCUUUGCAUGUACCGUAUGAAUAAGGACCGGCUAAUUCCGUGCCAGCAGCCGCGGUAAUACGGAAGGUCCGGGCGUUAUCCGGAUUUAUUGGGUGUAAAGGGAGCGUAGGCCGCAUGUCAAGCGUGCUGUGAAAUGUCCGGGCUCAACCCGGGCCUUGCAGCGCGAACUGGCGUGCUUGAGUCCGCGGAAAGCAGGCGGAAUUCGUCGUGUAGCGGUGAAAUGCUUAGAUAUGACGAAGAACCCCGAUUGCGAAGGCAGCUUGCUGCAGCGGAACUGACGCUGAUGCUCGAAAGCGCGGGUAUCGAACAGGAUUAGAUACCCCUGUAGUC